RNAcentral lists this ribosomal RNA (91 nucleotides) under Klebsiella pneumoniae. Lineage: Bacteria; Pseudomonadati; Pseudomonadota; Gammaproteobacteria; Enterobacterales; Enterobacteriaceae. The record is from RNAcentral.
CACCUGACCCCAUGCCGAACUCAGAAGUGAAACGCCGUAGCGCCGAUGGUAGUGUGGGGUCUCCCCAUGUGAGAGUAGGGAACUGCCAGGU